Molecule: ribosomal RNA, 732 nt
Filed under: uncultured marine bacterium
Lineage: Bacteria
Description: bacterial SSU rRNA
Rfam family: Bacterial small subunit ribosomal RNA
Source: RNAcentral
UGAUCCUGGCUCAGAACGAACGCUGGCGGCAGGCCUAACACAUGCAAGUCGAGCGCGCCUUCGGGUGAGCGGCGGACGGGUUAGUAACGCGUGGGAACGUGCCCUUCUCUACGGAAUAGCCUCUGGAAACGGAGAGUAAUACCGUAUACGCCCUUUGGGGGAAAGAUUUAUCGGAGAAGGAUCGGCCCGCGUUAGAUUAGGUAGUUGGUGGGGUAACGGCCUACCAAGCCUACGAUCUAUAGCUGGUUUUAGAGGAUGAUCAGCAACACUGGGACUGAGACACGGCCCAGACUCCUACGGGAGGCAGCAGUGGGGAAUCUUAGACAAUGGGGGCAACCCUGAUCUAGCCAUGCCGCGUGAGUGAUGAAGGCCUCAGGGUCGUAAAACUCUUUCGCCUGUGAUGAUAAUGACAGUAGCAGGUAAAGAAACCCCGGCUAACUCCGUGCCAGCAGCCGCGGUAAUACGGAGGGGGUUAGCGUUGUUCGGAAUUACUGGGCGUAAAGCGCGCGUAGGCGGAUUAGAAAGUUGGGGGUGAAAUCCCGGGGCUCAACCCCGGAACUGCCUCCAAAACUGCUAGUCUAGAGUUCGAGAGAGGUGAGUGGAAUUCCGAGUGUAGAGGUGAAAUUCGUAGAUAUUCGGAGGAACACCAGUGGCGAAGGCGGCUCACUGGCUCGAUACUGACGCUGAGGUGCGAAAGUGUGGGGAGCAAACAGGAUUAGAUACCCUGGUAGU